GAUGAAGAACGUAGCGAAAUGCGAUAAGUAAUGUGAAUUGCAGAAUUCAGUGAAUCAUCGAAUCUUUGAACGCACAUUGCGCCCGCCAGUAUUCUGGCGGGCAUGCCUGUUCGAGCGUCAUUUCAACCAUCAAGCCCCAGGCUUGUGUUGGGGACCUGCGGCUGCCGCAGGCCCUGAAAACCAGUGGCGGGCUCGCUGUCACACCGGGCGUAGUAGAUUUUAUCUCGCUCAGGGCGUGCUGCGGGUUCCGGCCGUUAAAAAGCCUUUUUUACCCAAGGUUGACCUCGGAUCAGGUAGGAAUACCCGCUGAACUUAAGCAUAUUCAAUAAGCGGAGGA
This 337-nucleotide unclassified non-coding RNA is filed under the name soil metagenome. Its description in RNAcentral is "partial contains 5.8S ribosomal RNA, internal transcribed spacer 2, and large subunit ribosomal RNA". The stretch from base 1 to 120 matches the Rfam family "5.8S ribosomal RNA", at positions 35 to 154 of the family's 154-position model. The record is from RNAcentral.